AAUUCAUUAUUUACUUUUCGUUAGCCGAUAUACAUAAAUUAUACACUGAUUAUACAUGGAUGCAUGGGUGGAUGCACGUUUAAUGAAGUGGUGGCACGCGACACUGCUUCAUCGAUUUUUUUUUUUUUACUAUAUAUAUUAAUAUCGUAAGGACACAGAUAAAGAAGGAAAAAAUGACACCACUUGACAUAAAUUAUUUCUUGGUACGUCAGUUAUGUGCUUGAUUUUGCUUUUAGAUGUCAAAGGUUCGAACCUCAACUAACACAUUUUUUUUUUUUUGCAAAUAUUUAAGAGAGCCCUUAUGGUUAAAAAUUGUGAUUGAAUUAGAAUUGAACUCAGGACCUUUUCUAACUAAAGACUCAACAAAAUCAAUAGAAUAAGGCUAUUUCUUGUGCAAUAAUUAAAGUUAUUAUUCUCGUUCUUAUAUAAAUUUCGAUACCGCUUAUAAAAAUUCCUGCGUACGCCCCUGUACAGAUGUAUACAUAUGGAUUAUAUAUAUACAUUUCGUCGACUAUUUUUAGUUUAAGCAGUUGGAUGGACAAUUAACAAUUUGAUUUUUACAUGUUAUGCAGUUCAUUCAAACAUUCAAGUGAUGGCUAUGCGAGUCCUACCUUUAGAGAUACAGAUGAUUGAGCAGUUUCUAAUCCCAGAUCUUACCUCAUUAAAAGGCAGAUGUUUCUCCCCUUGCAAAUCUAGUGCAGAAUGCAAUGUACAGAAAAUGUGUUCACAAUGUCGAAAGAGUAUGCGUUGGAGGUCGUCUAAGAGUUGCAUGGCUCCAAAUUAACCCAAUUUGAAUCAAUCUCAUAUGAUAUUUUCUAUGUUCCUUUUUUGCCUACUUGAUCCUUCUGAGAGCUGAGUUUCUAUCGGAAAUAAUCUUUCUAUCGAUACAAGGCAGGAUUAAGGUCUGCGUACACACUACCCUUCUCAGACCCCAUUUGUAGAAAAACACUGGGUAUGUUUUUCUUGUUAUUGUUGUUGUUACUUGCACCUUCUAAGAGCCGAUGGUCUAUCGAAAAUAGUCUUUCUAUCUGCACAAGAUAGGAAUAAAGUCUGUGUAUACACUACCCUCCCCAGGCUUCACUUGUAAAAAUAAAUUGUGUAUGUUGUUGUUGUUACUUGCUCCUUCUAAGCUUUGUGUCACUUGUAAAAUUAAAGUUACUAUCUUUAUUCUGAAUAAAUAAAUGU
Molecule: long non-coding RNA, 1185 nt
Filed under: Nicotiana tabacum (common tobacco)
Lineage: Eukaryota; Viridiplantae; Streptophyta; Magnoliopsida; Solanales; Solanaceae
Description: long non-coding RNA (NTAB_LNC005959)
Source: RNAcentral